RNAcentral lists this long non-coding RNA (1797 nucleotides) under Marmota monax (woodchuck). The record is from RNAcentral. Lineage: Eukaryota; Metazoa; Chordata; Mammalia; Rodentia; Sciuridae.
GGACGACGAAGUGUUUGUUUCUGGUGAGUUUAUUUUUGAAACCCAUCUGCCAUGUGGUUUCUGUUGGGCAGAGUAUUUGGGAGGAGGCAUUUAGAACUUGGGAAGGGCCAAGCGUCUCUGUUUGGGACCCUGUGGGGCUGCACUUAACAUGUGGCAUCUCCUCAGGCUCCACCCCACCUCCUGGCUGUGCUGUGCGAAGCUGCCUCUCGGCCAGUGGUCUACAGGCUCUGACCCAGUCUCCGCUGCUGUUUCAGGGGAAGAUGCCUUCCUCUCAGAGCAAGGACACCAGAGGUAAUCUCCUUGUUAAAGGUCCUGGUAACUUUUAUCAGGGCCACGGUGCUCCCCUGUGGAUGACUUGGAGAAUUCACUCAGGGUUGCCAAGCAAAUCAAUUUUGGAGGAAUCUUGGGGAUGCCAAGUAAGGGAUAGAUGGCUUUGUGCCUCAGAUGUUGUGUACCCUUCCCAGAAGUAAAGCUUGGGUGCAUCUGAACAAAAACCUUCUCAAGAUCCUACCAGUUUUGAAGAUGGUGACAGCAUUGGGACACCAUGACACUGCUUGUCUGUAAUCUUAGAAUCUGAACAGGAAAGCACUUGGGCCACAGAAAUGUUAUGUUCAGAGACAGCCAUUCCUGCCAGUAGGCUAUUCCCCUUCCUUGUGCCCUUUCUCAGGCCCUCUAUAAAAGCACAGGAUUUGCUGUUCAUUGCACUGGCUAGAAAUGUUUUCUUCUGUAACAUGGGAGGAGGAACACAGGAUGUGGAGGUCUCUGUAAGUCAUGCAAAGUAGUAUAACCCCCACAGAUCCAAAACCUAAAAGAAUGUACAAUACAGAAAAUUGAGGAAACACAAGUUCAAGUACUUUGCAUUUCCACAGUGGCUUAUUGUUGUCAACCUGAUGCCCAAGCAUGAAAGGUGAAGAGCAUUAUCACAAGUGAGGGUAACACAGUACUGAUUUUCUUAAAUUUAUUUGUGUGUGUGACCCUUUGCUGUUCAAGCCCAUUUUCUUUUGUUCAGUCCACAGUCUCUUCUCUACCUUUUUCUAGAUGAGGAUGUGGAUGUGUUUCCCUCUACUUCAGAAGAAUCUCCAUUCAGUCAAGCCUUCUCCAGGAGGCGUCCCUUCAGCAGAACUUACACACGGAAGAAGCUCAUUAGCUAGUUAGGACGGGCCCCAGUUGAAGGAUUUACAACUACAAAUGCUGCUAAGCCUGACCAGAUCCUCUGCAUGUCCUGGACAGAAUUGCUCUGAGAGUGGUUUCUCUGGGCAUAGCAAUUCCAAACUCAACAUCAAGGUAUUCCAGCAGUGUGCCUAGAACAGGAAUGACCAGGGAUUGAUGGGACCAAAAAAGUUCAACAGGUGAAAUUGAAGUCAUCCAGGUCCCCAUGGGCUUAAGAGAAAUUGGCGACCUGGUCCCAAAUCUCCCUAGCCAGUUUUCAGAUUCCCUCUGGAAUACCUUGUGGUAAUCAAAUUCCCCUCAUGGAAUCUGUCUCUUCCUAGUCCUGCCCGUUGUUCGAGAGGUCAGGUGGACGGCUGUGCAGCUGGAGCUGUAACUCAGGCAACCUGAAACAGGGAACUAUAAGAUGGGAUCCCAUUACAGCAACACCCUGACUAUAACCUUGGCAGGUCAGAAGGCCACUGCCUUGCUUAUGAGAACAGAAAGGAAAGUACCUCAUGGGGUGCUUCAGAAGUUGCUAUAAGACUGGGAUGGCAUAAACAGUGCUUUGUAAACUGUGAAGCCCAGUGCGUGAAAUUAAAGGAUGCAUAUGCAAGAGAAUGUUUUGUCUUCUCUGUUUAACAAUAAAAU